Arabidopsis lyrata subsp. lyrata is the source of this 261-nucleotide long non-coding RNA. RefSeq lists it as uncharacterized. Lineage: Eukaryota; Viridiplantae; Streptophyta; Magnoliopsida; Brassicales; Brassicaceae. The transcript is spliced from 3 exons. The record is from RefSeq and is a predicted model, not a curated record.
GUGGGAAAGAUGUCUCCAAUAACAAAAAGGUAGGUGAGAGUAGUGCAAAUAAGGGUAAGGAUAAGGAGAAGGAAGGAAUUUCAGUUUCUGAAACAAACAAUGAGGCAUGUAAGAAAAGUUCUGAAAGUAAGAAGUACUGUAGAAAGAAGAGAUAUGUCAGAGAAAGAAAAGAGACAAAUAAGCGUAAACAAGGGGAUAAUUCUUAUAAUGAUAUUCCUACAAGAAAACAGCCUCAGAGAAAAAAAUGCAAAAAUACUGACA